RNAcentral lists this unclassified non-coding RNA (224 nucleotides) under Hevea brasiliensis (rubber tree). Lineage: Eukaryota; Viridiplantae; Streptophyta; Magnoliopsida; Malpighiales; Euphorbiaceae. The record is from RNAcentral.
GCGUUGGGUAUUUCUGAAGGAGUUUCUGUACCGGAGCAAGAGCGAGGGGAGGGGGACGACUGUGGCGAAGGAGAAGGAGAAAUUCUGGCACUCGCUCUCAUUUUCUCCUUCGUCGUCGAAGGACAAAUCGAAGAAAGCGCCGCCGGUAGCAGCGGCGGCAAAGAAGCCGCCGGCUAGUGGGGCUGGGAAGCGGCGGGGGCCGGCGCCGUCGGCGCACGAGCGGC